AAUGAACGCUGGCGGCGUGGAUUAGGCAUGCAAGUCGAACGCGAAAGUUCCCUUCGGGGAGCGAGUAGAGUGGCGAAAGGGUGAGUAAUGCUUGGAUGACCUGCCCUCGAGACGGGGACAACAGUUCGAAAGGACUGCUAAUACCCGAUAGUCCGGUUUAGAUGCGUCUAGAUCGGUAAAUGGUGCUUCCGCUCGAGGAGGGGUUUCAAGUCCUAUCAGCUUGUUGGUGAGGUAACGGCUCACCAAGGCGAUGACGGGUAGCCGGACUGAGAGGUUGGCCGGCCACAUGGGAACUGAGACACUGUCCUGACUCCUACGGGAGGCUGCAGUCGAGAAUCUCUGCAAUGGGCGAAAGCCUGACAGAGCGACGCCGCGUGGAGGAUGAAGGCC
This 390-nucleotide ribosomal RNA is filed under the name uncultured bacterium. RNAcentral describes it as "bacterial SSU rRNA". It matches the Rfam family "Bacterial small subunit ribosomal RNA", at positions 29 to 416 of the family's 1533-position model. The record is from RNAcentral.